AUUGAACGCUGGCGGCAUGCUUUACACAUGCAGGUCGGACGGCAGCACAGAGAAGCUUGCUUCUUGGGUGGCGAGUGGCGAACGGGUGAGUAAUAUAUCGGAACGUACCGAGUAAUGGGGGAUAACUAAUCGAAAGAUUAGCUAAUACCGCAUAUUCUCUGAGGAGGAAAGCAGGGGACCUUCGGGCCUUGCGUUAUUCGAGCGGCCGAUAUCUGAUUAGCUAGUUGGUGGGGUAAAGGCCUACCAAGGCGACGAUCAGUAGCGGGUCUGAGAGGAUGAUCCGCCACACUGGGACUGAGACACGGCCCAGACUCCUACGGGAGGCAGCAGUGGGGAAUUUUGGACAAUGGGCGCAAGCCUGAUCCAGCCAUGCCGCGUGUCUGAAGAAGGCCUUCGGGUUGUAAAGGACUUUUGUCAGGGAAGAAAAGGCUGUUGCUAAUACCGACAGCUGAUGACGGUACCUGAAGAAUAAGCACCGGCUAACUACGUG
RNAcentral lists this ribosomal RNA (490 nucleotides) under uncultured bacterium. Its description in RNAcentral is "partial 16S ribosomal RNA". It matches the Rfam family "Bacterial small subunit ribosomal RNA", at positions 30 to 507 of the family's 1533-position model. The record is from RNAcentral.